CAGUAGCCGCGGUAAUGCGUAGGUGGCGAGCGUUGUCCGGAAUUAUUGGGCGUAAAGGGAGCGCAGGCGGACAUAUAAGUCCAUCUUAAAAGUGCGGGGCUCAACCCCGUGAGGGGAUGGAAACUGUAUGCCUUGAGUGCAGGAGAGGAAAGCGGAAUUCCUAGUGUAGCGGUGAAAUGCGUAGAUAUUAGGAAGAACACCAGUGGCGAAGGCGACUCUCUGGUCUGUAACUGACGCUGAGGAGCGAAAGCGUGGGGAGCGAACAGGAUUAGAUACCCGAGUAGUCCCUGUCUCUUAUACC
RNAcentral lists this ribosomal RNA (301 nucleotides) under uncultured bacterium. Its description in RNAcentral is "partial 16S ribosomal RNA". It matches the Rfam family "Bacterial small subunit ribosomal RNA", at positions 509 to 808 of the family's 1533-position model. The record is from RNAcentral.